GAUGAACGCUGGCGGCGUGCCUAAUACAUGCAAGUCGAGCGAACGGACGAGAAGCUUGCUUCUCUGAUGUUAGCGGCGGACGGGUGAGUAACACGUGGAUAACCUACCUAUAAGACUGGGAUAACUUCGGGAAACCGGAGCUAAUACCGGAUGAUAUUUUGAACCGCACGGUUCAAAAGUGAAAGACGGUCUUGCUGUCACUUAUAGAUGGAUCCGCGCUGCAUUAGCUAGUUGGUAAGGUAACGGCUUACCAAGGCAACGAUGCAUAGCCGACCUGAGAGGGUGAUCGGCCACACUGGAACUGAGACACGGUCCAGACUCCUACGGGAGGCAGCAGUAGGGAAUCUUCCGCAAUGGGCGAAAGCCUGACGGAGCAACGCCGCGUGAGUGAUGAAGGUCUUCGGAUCGUAAAACGCUGUUAUUAGGGAAGAACAUAUGUGUAAGUAACUGUGCACAUCUUGACGGUACCGAAUCAGAAAGCCACGGCUAACUACGUG
This 497-nucleotide ribosomal RNA is filed under the name uncultured bacterium. RNAcentral's name for it is "partial 16S ribosomal RNA". It matches the Rfam family "Bacterial small subunit ribosomal RNA", at positions 28 to 507 of the family's 1533-position model. The record is from RNAcentral.